RNAcentral lists this small RNA (287 nucleotides) under gamma proteobacterium BDW918. Its description in RNAcentral is "5' ureB small RNA". It matches the Rfam family "5' ureB small RNA". The record is from Rfam by way of RNAcentral. Lineage: Bacteria; Pseudomonadati; Pseudomonadota; Gammaproteobacteria; Cellvibrionales; Spongiibacteraceae.
CCUCUUCAAUUUGCUGAGGGCAAAUAAAGUGGAUGUGCGAAUCGAUGGCACCGGCGGUUAAGAUCUGACCUUCACCGGCAAUCACCUCGGUGCAGGGACCAACAAUAAUAUCGACAUUGGGCUGAAUAUCAGGAUUACCGGCUUUACCUAUAGCGCAAAUGCGUCCCGCUUUAAUGGCCACAUCGGCUUUAACCACGCCCCAGUGAUCCAAUAUCAAUGCAUUGGUAAUCACCGUAUCUGGGGUAUGGGCGCCGCCUAACUGACUCUGGCCCAUGCCGUCGCGAAUG